UUACAAUGAGCAAAUUAAAGAAUCUUGUUUGUGAGGAAUUGAAGAAGAAGAAGAAGAAAGAAUGUCGUCAUCGUCUUCGAAAUCGAAAUCCUGGAUGUUCCUACUCAUCAAGCUGUUCAACUUCAAGUUCUUGAUCGUUAUGUAGUAUUGGACAAUGGCAUUGCUCGAGUGACAAUAUCAAAACCAGGAGGAAUUGUCACUGGAAUAGCUUAUAAUGGCAUUGACAAUCUUCUUGAAUCUCGAUAUGUUGAGGACAAUAGAGGUUAACUGUGUUAUGAAUGCCGAUAUUGGGAUCUUGUUUGGAAUGAUGAUACUACACCAGGGACAUUUACCACG
This is a long non-coding RNA of Spinacia oleracea (spinach), 336 nucleotides long. RefSeq lists it as uncharacterized. The transcript is spliced from 3 exons. The record is from RefSeq and is a predicted model, not a curated record. NCBI's taxonomy places the organism in Eukaryota, Viridiplantae, Streptophyta, Magnoliopsida, Caryophyllales, Amaranthaceae.